RNAcentral lists this ribosomal RNA (731 nucleotides) under uncultured bacterium. RNAcentral's name for it is "bacterial SSU rRNA". It matches the Rfam family "Bacterial small subunit ribosomal RNA", at positions 771 to 1501 of the family's 1533-position model. The record is from RNAcentral.
AACAGGAUUAGAUACCCUGGUAGUCCACGCUGUAAACGAUGUCGACUUGGAGGUUGUGCCCUUGAGGCGUGGCUUCCGGAGCUAACGCGUUAAGUCGACCGCCUGGGGAGUACGGCCGCAAGGUUAAAACUCAAAUGAAUUGACGGGGGCCCGCACAAGCGGUGGAGCAUGUGGUUUAAUUCGAUGCAACGCGAAGAACCUUACCUACUCUUGACAUCCAGAGAAUUUGCUAGAGAUAGCUUAGUGCCUUCGGGAACUCUGAGACAGAUGCUGCAUGGCUGUCGUCAGCUCGUGUUGUGAAAUGUUGGGUUAAGUCCCGCAACGAGCGCAACCCUUAUCCUUUGUUGCCAGCGAGUAAUGUCGGGAACUCAAAGGAGACUGCCGGUGAUAAACCGGAGGAAGGUGGGGAUGACGUCAAGUCAUCAUGGCCCUUACGAGUAGGGCUACACACGUGCUACAAUGGCAUAUACAAAGAGAAGCGAACUCGCGAGAGCAAGCGGACCUCAUAAAGUAUGUCGUAGUCCGGAUUGGAGUCUGCAACUCGGCUCCAUGAAGUCGGAAUCGCUAGUAAUCGUAGAUCAGAAUGCUACGGUGAAUACGUUCCCGGGCCUUGUACACACCGCCCGUCACACCAUGGGAGUGGGUUGCAAAAGAAGUAGGUAGCUUAACCUUCGGGAGGGCGCUUACCACUUUGUGAUUCAUGACUGGGGUGAAGUCGUAACAAGGUAACC